This 371-nucleotide ribosomal RNA is filed under the name Cotesia sp. RSR-2005. RNAcentral describes it as "partial 16S ribosomal RNA". The record is from RNAcentral. Lineage: Eukaryota; Metazoa; Arthropoda; Insecta; Hymenoptera; Braconidae.
AGCUGCAGUAUAAAUAACUGUACAAAGGCAGCAUAAUAAUUUGUUUUUUAAUUGAAAACUAGAAUGAAUGAUUAAAUGAAAUAUAAACUAUAUCAAAUUUAAAAAAUAAAUUUAUUAUUUAAAUAAAAAAAUUUAAAUAAAUUUUAAAGACGAGAAGACCCUAAAGAAUUUUAAUAAUAAAUUAUACUAUAAAUUUAAAAUUUAUUAUAUUAAUUGGGGAAAUUUUAAAAUUUAAAAAAUUUUUAAUUAAAUAAACAUAAAUUUUUGAAUAUUUAAAAUUUUUUAAAAAAUUAAAUUAAAUUACCUUAGGGAUAACAGCAUAAUUUUUUUAAAAAGUUCAAAUUUAUAAAAAAGUUUAUGACCUCGAUGUU